AGUGAACGCUGGCGGUAGGCCUAACACAUGCAAGUCGAACGGCAGCACAGUAAGAGCUUGCUCUUACGGGUGGCGAGUGGCGGACGGGUGAGGAAUACAUCGGAAUCUACUUUUUCGUGGGGGAUAACGUAGGGAAACUUACGCUAAUACCGCAUACGACCUACGGGUGAAAGCAGGGGAUCUUCGGACCUUGCGCGAUUGAAUGAGCCGAUGUCGGAUUAGCUAGUUGGCGGGGUAAAGGCCCACCAAGGCGACGAUCCGUAGCUGGUCUGAGAGGAUGAACGGCCACACUGGAACUGAGACACGGUCCAGACUCCUACGGGAGGCAGCAGUGGGGAAUAUUGGACAAUGGGCGCAAGCCUGAUCCAGCCAUACCGCGUGGGUGAAGAAGGCCUUCGGGUUGUAAAGCCCUUUUGUUGGGAAAGAAAAGCAGCAGGUUAAUACCCCGCUGUUCUGACGGUACCCAAAGAAUAAGCACCGGCUAACUUCGUG
RNAcentral lists this ribosomal RNA (492 nucleotides) under uncultured bacterium. Its description in RNAcentral is "partial 16S ribosomal RNA". It matches the Rfam family "Bacterial small subunit ribosomal RNA", at positions 29 to 507 of the family's 1533-position model. The record is from RNAcentral.